AGCGUCUGUGCCGUCACCGCCCACCGCCUCCCCGGGAGCGUCCACGGGAUCCCCGGGGACCCGAACGGCCACUUCGUGCAGUGCCAGGUCGGGAAGAACACUUAGGGCUUGAAGCUACUGCAGCUUUUACUGGACAGCAGUGCAGCCAGAACGCUGGAAAUGGAGAACAGCCACAGGAAAUGCAGAAUGAGCAGUUUGUAACAUUUUCUGCAGCACUGUGUGGCCUGGCUGAAUAGAAAGCCUGAAAUCCUUCACCGUGGAUUUGUGGCUCAAGACAAAGCCGUGGCUGCGACUGUUCUGUGCAGAUCCCAACGAUACUCAAUGCAGAGAGGAUGGCACAGCUCUGCCUGCUGAAGCUCCCAGGGAGCAGCUCCUGCCCCAGCAGUCCUGCAGGGUCCAACUGCACAUACUGACUAGAAGGGAAGGAAUGAGAAACUGCAGCCGACAGGAGCACAACAAAGUAUUUAAUGUCUUGUCUUUAUAAAGGUAGCUGCAUGCUUUAAGCACUUUGUGCUCAGAUGCUUUCAGAUGACAGCAGUUGCAAAAGAUCUGCUCAGACAACAGAGGAUUAUUGUUCUGCAUCACAAUAACAGUUUAAAUGCAAAUUAAAAACAAUCAAUUCCA
Molecule: non-coding RNA, 624 nt
Organism: Phasianus colchicus (ring-necked pheasant)
Lineage: Eukaryota; Metazoa; Chordata; Aves; Galliformes; Phasianidae
Source: RefSeq, a predicted model, not a curated record